CAUUCAGGCAGCUGCAUCCUCGCGGCCCCCGCCGCAGCCUGGACCUUGGGAACCAGCAGCCCCGAGCCAGGAAGCUCCAGCAUUCAGGGCCCAGACAGACCCCCAAAUCCCAGACCAGAGGCAGGGAAGGAUGGUGCGAGGAGGAGCCCAGGACCCACACGCCAGGGCCAGCGCCGGCUCCCAGUGGGUGCCUCCUUCCAAGGCUGGAGAGGGAGGCAGAAUGGAGGGCUUCCCAGGUCGGAGCAACCCUACAGGCCGGGCAGGUGGAGGGAAGCGUGCAGGUCAUGUUCUGGAGACCUCCCCGCAGCCUGGAACUGGUUUCUCCUCUGCCUCUCUGCCUGUGGGUGUCCCUGUGCUCUGGUAACACCCCAGGCACCAGCUGUGCCCUCACCAGGCUGCCUGCCCGCCCCUUCUGCCAUCCCCAUCAGCGGGCUGCUUCAGAGCCACGGCCCUUCUGCGGCUACAGGGGCGGAUGCACCCACAGCAUGCUCUGCACUGAGGAGCAGGCAGUGGGCGCUGAUGCCACCUGCCCUGCCGACAGCUCCUCACCCAGCAAGGCCGACCCAGCCCCGGGUGAAAGAGGAGCGAGUGAGGUAGAUUGGGGAGAGGCUGCACCUUCACCCAUGCCUGCCCACAGCAUGGCCCCUCCACUUCCUGCACGGGCGCUGGGAACUGCUUUCCAUGGAGCCCCACGGCCAUGACCAGCCCGGUGCUGGGAGAGGACGGCCUGGGUGGUGUGUGUCUGCAGACACGAAGAUCUGGGCACGGGGCCCAGGAAGUGAAUGGCUCAGCCUGGAGUUUUCCCCAGCACUAGAAGCAGAGCUGCCAAGGGCUGCAGCUGUGGAGAACAUGGGAUUUGAGGAAGGCAGGAGUCUUUUCCGUCAUACUUUGUGAGCAGGCAGAUGUGCCAGGGGAGACGGAAGAUAAGGAAUGUGCGUUUAGCUUUAAUGUCUGUUAAAUAGGUUGGGAAAAACAGGCCGAGUGUGGGGACCUGACUCCUGUAAAGGGCCUACUGCAGCCCUCUGCACUCAAGCAGCAGCCCCAUCCAGACCAGGAGCGUUCUGUUCUCCGGGCAGACAGGGCUGACAGGUGUAGGACGGCAUCUCUUUCCUUUGGAGUGUGGGCUGGGGUCAGAGGAGAAACAGCAACUUCCUGCUCCUUCUCGAUGUGUCGUUGGUUCACCGUAGACCACGUCCUGCAUUCCCUCUGAUCCUCUCAUGGGGAGAGCCCUGGACCUUCUGGUGGUGUCCCAGCUGGGUGGGUUCAAGGCUGCCACCCUGCUGGGGGCAGCUGGCCCGCAGGGAAGGGCCAGACAGCACCUCUCAGUGGAGACUGAAUCUUCCUUCAGGAGGCUGCCUCCAGGAAAGACCUGGGGUCCUUCCUGCGCUCAGCGCUGGCUGGCUGUCCUGUUCAUGCAGUGGAAGACAUUACAGAAGAAUUCAUACCAGAAGAACAUGAAGCCUGUGGAGAGGGCAGCCUUCAGCAAGCUGGGGGACAGGCCCUUGAAGAAGCCCAGGGCACCUUCCUUUUGCAGCACCUGCUUGGCACAGUCCAUGAGGCCCUUGUAUCUGCGCACCUGGGGAGAGGAAAGGGAUGAAAACAUGGAUGUCCACUCUGCUCCCAUCAACACAGCCCCUGGCACAUCACAGCUCUUAAGAAGUACUUGCUGGACGAAGGAAUGAAUGCAAAAUAGCAAAUAUUUUUAUUUUAUUUUUUCAUUGAGGCAGAAUUUCUCUCUGUUGCCCAGGCUGGAAUGCAGUGGCACAAUCUUGGCUCAUUGCAGCCUCCGCCUCCCAGGUUCAAGCGAUUCUCCUGCCUCAGCCUCCUGAGUAGCUGGGAUUACAGGCGCCCACCACCACCCCCGGCUAAUUUUUUGUAUUUUUAGUAGAGAUGCAGUUUCGCCAUGUUGGCCAGGCUGGUCUUGAACUCCUGACCUCAGGUGAUCCACCUGCUUCAGCCUCCUAAUGUGCUGGGAUUACAGUCGUGGGCAACCAUGCCCAGCUCAAAAUAGCAAAUAAAUUAAUCUCAUUUUUUGUACUGCAAUUAGGUUAAGACUGAAUAGCUGACAGGCCUAGAAAUCAGCAGCUGGACAAAGCUCCUUCCUGCCCAGGAAGAACGGCUGCCUGUGGCUCCAAAGGAUCCAGCAAUGGCUCUGGAACCUCUUCCCAGAGGUGUCUCUGACCCUUCACCUCAUCCCACCUGAUCCCCCUUGGGCAGCAGAUCUGAACCUGGCCCUCAGUAGCUCUCAGCCAGGCCUCCCUGCCUCCAGCUCACCCUCUCCAGCUGACCUCAUGCACUGCUGCCAGACUUUCGUCCCCAGGCACAGCCCUCCUCAGGCCUGGCUUCCCUCCAAAAGCUGCAGUAACUCAUAGUGACAACAUCAUGAGAAAUCAAGUUCAAACCCCAAGAUCUGCCAUUCAAGGCACUGCACCAUUUCGCCUUGAUUUCCCUCCCUGAUCUGACCUCCACUGUCCUCCCACAUGCCCUUCCCACCUCUGGCCAGACUGGAUUACACUAGUCUUCAUUAGCAGCAAGGCCUCCCUCUGCCAUCCUGGGCUCCCACCAUCACUCCCUGUCCAAAUUCAAACUGUCCCUUCAUGCUGGGUGCAGUGGUGCAUGCCUGCAGUUCCAGCUACUUGGGAGGCUGAGAGGGGAGGAUCGCUUGAGCCCAGGAGUUCGAGACCAGCCUAGGCAACAGAGUGAUGUCCCAUUUAAAAAAAAAAAGAAAGAAAAGAAAACAAACUCUUCAGGACAAGUUGGUAAGUGGAAAAGGGAGGUUACAAACCUUGUAUACAGUGUAUCCCCAUUUUUGUUAAAAUGUACACUGUAUUUAUGAAAAGAAAUAAAACUACAUUGAACGUU
RNA transcript from Cercocebus atys (sooty mangabey), 2862 nucleotides. It is a transcript of the gene named collagen alpha-1(I) chain-like, with no coding region annotated. The transcript has a single exon. NCBI's taxonomy places the organism in Eukaryota, Metazoa, Chordata, Mammalia, Primates, Cercopithecidae. The record is from RefSeq and is a predicted model, not a curated record.